AGCCUACGGGGGGCAGCAGUGGGGGAUAUUGCACAAUGGGGGAAACCCUGAUGCAGCAACGCCGCGUGAGUGAAGAAGUCAUUCGUGAUGUAAAGCUCUAUCAGCAGGGAAGAAAAUGACGGUACCUGAGUAAGAAGCCCCGGCUAACUACGUGCCAGCAGCCGCGGUAAUACGUAGGGGGCAAGCGUUAUCCGGAUUUACUGGGUGUAAAGGGAGCGUAGGCGGCAGGGCAAGCCUGAUGUGAAAGCCCGGGGCUCAACCCCGGGACUGCAUUGGGAACUGCCCCGCCCGAGUGCCGGAGGGGC
RNAcentral lists this ribosomal RNA (305 nucleotides) under uncultured bacterium. RNAcentral describes it as "bacterial SSU rRNA". It matches the Rfam family "Bacterial small subunit ribosomal RNA", at positions 335 to 658 of the family's 1533-position model. The record is from RNAcentral.